GACGAACGCUGGCGGCGUGCCUAAUACAUGCAAGUCGAACGCAUUUUCUUUCACCGUAGCUUGCUACACCGACAGAAAAUGAGUGGCGAACGGGUGAGUAACACGUGGGUAACCUGCCCAUCAGCGGGGGAUAACACUUGGAAACAGGUGCUAAUACCGCAUAAUUCCAUUUACUGCAUGGUAGAUGGAUGAAAGGCGCUUUUGCGUCACUGAUGGAUGGACCCGCGGUGCAUUAGCUAGUUGGUGGGGUAACGGCCUACCAAGGCUGCGAUGCAUAGCCGACCUGAGAGGGUGAUCGGCCACGCUGGGACGGAGACACGGCCCAGACUCCUACGGGAGGCAGCAGUAGGGAAUCUUCGGCAAUGGACGCAAGUCUGACCGAGCAACGCCGCGUGAGUGAAGAAGGUUUUCGGAUCGUAAAACUCUGUUGUUAGAAAAGAACAAGGAUGAGAGUGGAAAGUUCAUCCCUUGACGGUAUCUAACCAGAAAGCCACGGCUAACUACGUG
Molecule: ribosomal RNA, 507 nt
Filed under: uncultured bacterium
Lineage: Bacteria
Description: partial 16S ribosomal RNA
Rfam family: Bacterial small subunit ribosomal RNA
Source: RNAcentral